GUAAGGAAUAUUGGACAAUGGACGCAAGUCUGAUCCAGCCAUGCCGCGUGAAGGAUUAAGGUACUCUGGAUUGUAAACUUCUUUUAUAAGGGACGAAAAAAGGCUUUUCUAAGUCGUCUGACGGUACCUUAUGAAUAAGCACCGGCUAACUCCGUGCCAGCAGCCGCGGUAAUACGGAGGGUGCAAGCGUUAUCCGGAUUCACUGGGUUUAAAGGGUGCGUAGGCGGGCAGGUAAGUCAGUGGUGAAAUCCUAGAGCUUAACUCUAGAACUGCCAUUGAUACUAUCUGUCUUGAAUAUUGUGGAGGUAAGCGGAAUAUGUCAUGUAGCGGUGAAAUGCUUAGAUAUGACAUAGAACACCUAUUGCGAAGGCAGCUUACUACGCAUAUAUUGACGCUGAGGCACGAAAGCGUGGGGAUCAAACAGGAUUAGAAACCCCGGUAGUCC
RNAcentral lists this ribosomal RNA (445 nucleotides) under uncultured bacterium. RNAcentral's name for it is "bacterial SSU rRNA". It matches the Rfam family "Bacterial small subunit ribosomal RNA", at positions 354 to 796 of the family's 1533-position model. The record is from RNAcentral.